Molecule: long non-coding RNA, 1326 nt
Filed under: Salmo trutta (river trout)
Lineage: Eukaryota; Metazoa; Chordata; Actinopteri; Salmoniformes; Salmonidae
Description: lncRNA (ENSSTUG00000021911.1)
Source: RNAcentral
AAGUGAUAUCAAAAAUUAACUGGAGUACCCGAAGCCCUGCCCCUCUUGGCCUAUGUUGUGGGGUUUGCUAUGGUGAUGUCAGAGUAUGGGGGAGGGGUGAACAAGGGACCAUGAGCGAAAGGUAAGGCAAUAUUACGUAUUCUCGCUGACAAAGGCAAAUGAAGCCAUGUUUUUUUGCUUAUGCAUUUUGGAGUAGGCUAUUCUACAUUUAAAGUUGGAGUAAUGCCGCAUUUGUAAACUGGAGACUGGCGGAAGAGCACUCAGCUCCGGAUUAUGUUUGAUGUCUCUAACCGUCAAUGAGGGCGGUGCGGGGAUGUUGUGGACGUUGUAUCCAAUGCUGAGCAGAAGUUGUUGAAAUAGGGAUCAGAAAGCCCCUUUUGCCUACUUGAAAACAACGAAGCAACCUGAACCAUUCAAGAAUGAAAAUGAGUUCAGAGGCCAGCUGCUGAACCAGAGGUGGACACGAGGGGACAGAAUAAGCAGAUUCUGUGAGACCAAGAGGAGCCUGCGAAUCAAAGUGAGAAGCUGUGUGUGUGUGUGUGUGUGUGUGUGUGUGUUUGUGAGCGUGCACGUGUGUGCCUGUGUCUUUGUGAGAAAGAGCGAGAGAGAAAUAGAGAGUUAAUGCUUUGUGAUAACAAUGAGUACUGUCAGAAACAGUGACCCUCCCAUUUCACACAAAUCUAUCUCACUCUACUCCUCUCUCCCACUCUCUUCCUUCCCUCCCUAAACAGAAGGAGGUCAUACAUUUUUCCUUUUAAAAGCUUUUAUUAGAGUUGAUAAGGACUCUGCUUUUGUAACCAGAUCUUGCUCCAUUGAGGAUGAGGGGAGGUUCCACCCCACUUUGAAAUCAGUAUGAAUGUUAUGUGUAUGUGUUUGGUUAUGGGUGUAUCUGUGCUUUAAAAUACUUGUGUGUGGGAAGAGGAAGACAGGGGGAAGAUAAAAUUAUACUGCUAUGGUACUUGCAAUGAGGCACUGUGUGGAUUGAUGAUGUAGAAUAAUUGUAGAGAAGUCACUCAAAAAGUGAAGCUGUGUGUGUGUGUGUGUGUGUGUGUGUGUGUGUGUGUGUGUGUGUGUGUGUGUGUGUGUGUGUGUGUGUGUGUGAGCAUCAAAAUGUGUACCUGUGUGCCUAUGUAGUGUGUGUGUGUGAGUGAGUGAGUGAGUGAGGUAAAGAGAGGUAGUGAGUGCACUGUCAUGACACUUUGUGUUUCAGAUGAGUCAGGAAGCAGCAGAAACAAGAACACGGACCCGCUCAAAAGGCAUCAGAGGUGAGCUGGGGCCACACAAAUGCACGCACAAACGCAUGAUACUAAUGGAAACAGCUUCAUU